Molecule: ribosomal RNA, 245 nt
Filed under: uncultured Chloroflexota bacterium
Lineage: Bacteria; Bacillati; Chloroflexota
Description: uncultured Chloroflexi bacterium partial 16S ribosomal RNA
Rfam family: Bacterial small subunit ribosomal RNA
Source: RNAcentral
UACGUAGGUGGCGAGCGUUAUCCGGAUUUAUUGGGCGUAAAGAGGGCGCAGGCGGCUUUUCAAGUCGGAUGUAAAAUCUCCUGGCUUAACUGGGAGGGACCAUUCGAAACUGCUAAGCUAGAGGGCAGCAGAGGGAGGUAGAAUUCCCGGUGUAGUGGUGAAAUGCGUAGAUAUCGGGAGGAAUACCAGUGGCGAAGGCGGCCUCCUAGGCUGUUUCUGACGCUUAAGCCCGAAGGCGUGGGGAG